RNAcentral lists this ribosomal RNA (456 nucleotides) under uncultured bacterium. RNAcentral describes it as "bacterial SSU rRNA". It matches the Rfam family "Bacterial small subunit ribosomal RNA", at positions 340 to 786 of the family's 1533-position model. The record is from RNAcentral.
UACGGGAGGCAGCAGUGGGGAAUAUUGCACAAUGGGCGCAAGCCUGAUGCAGCCAUGCCGCGUGUAUGAAAAGGCCUUCGGGUUGUAAAGUACUUUCAGUCGUGAGGAAGGUGUUAAGGUUAAUAACCUUAGCAAUUGACGUUAGCGACAGAAGAAGCACCGGCUAACUCCGUGCCAGCAGCCGCGGUAAUACGGAGGGUGCGAGCGUUAAUCGGAAUUACUGGGCGUAAAGGGCACGCAGGCGGUUAAUUAAGUUGGAUGUGAAAUCCCCGGGCUUAACCUGGGAAUGGCAUUCAAGACUGGUUAGCUAGAGUCUUGUAGAGGGGGUAGAAUUCCAUGUGUAGCGGUGAAAUGCGUAGAGAUGUGGAGGAAUACCGGGUGGCUAAGGGCGGCCCCGUGGACAAAGGACUGACGCUCAUGUGCGAAAGCGUGGGGAGCAAACAGGGAUUAGAUACC